This 775-nucleotide ribosomal RNA is filed under the name uncultured Neocallimastigales. RNAcentral describes it as "partial large subunit ribosomal RNA". It matches the Rfam family "Eukaryotic large subunit ribosomal RNA", at positions 24 to 644 of the family's 3401-position model. The record is from RNAcentral. Lineage: Eukaryota; Fungi; Neocallimastigomycota; Neocallimastigomycetes; Neocallimastigales.
GUACGACUACAUAUCAGGCAUAUCAAUAAGCGGAGGAAAAGAAACUAACUAGGAUUCCCUCAGUAACGGCGAGUGAAGCGGGAAGAGCUCAGAUUUGAAAUCUUCAAGGUUUUACCUUGACGAAUUGUAGUUUAAAGAAGUGUUUUCUGUUGGUGUUUUGGUAAAAGUUCUUUGGAAUAGGACAUCAUAGAGGGUGAGAAUCCCGUAUUUGACCAUUACUUCCAGCGUUGUGAUACACUUUCAAAGAGUCGGAUUGCUUGGGAAUGCAGUCCAAAAUGGGUGGUAAAUUUCAUCUAAAGCUAAAUAUUGGCGAGAGACCGAUAGCGAACAAGUACCGUGAGGGAAAGAUGAAAAGAACUUUGAAAAGAGAGUUAAACAGUACGUGAAAUUGUCAAAAGGGAAGCGUUUGACACCAGUGUUGUUUUUCCGAAAAUCAAUUACGAAUGUUUUGUUUUUGAGGAGUUAUGACUUCAUCGGCUUGCUCCUUUCUUUAUGAAACUUUCUUAAUGCACUUUUCGGUUAACAAGUCAACAUCAAUUUCUUUUGUUGUAAAAGAGUCAUUGGAAGGUGGCUUUCACUUCGGUGAAAGUGUUUAUAGCCUUUGGCUUCUGCAAUCGGAGAGAUUGAGGUCUGCAGCGUAGAUCCUUCGGGGUUAGAUACGUAGAUGCUAAGUUAUAGUUUUUCAUAGACAACAUGUUGACUAUGAUUAAUCAUGUAGCUUACUCGCUUAUGCUAUUUUACCUACGCUUAGGAUGUUGAAUCUGUGCGAGACUAC